Molecule: ribosomal RNA, 998 nt
Filed under: Keissleriella pleurospora
Lineage: Eukaryota; Fungi; Ascomycota; Dothideomycetes; Pleosporales; Lentitheciaceae
Description: Pleurophoma pleurospora partial large subunit ribosomal RNA
Rfam family: Eukaryotic large subunit ribosomal RNA
Source: RNAcentral
UAGUAACGGCGAGUGAAGCGGCAACAGCUCAAAUUUGAAAUCUGGCCUCCCUUGGGGGUCCGAGUUGUAAUUUGCAGAGGGUGCUUUGGCGUCGGCAGCGGUCUAAGUUCCUUGGAACAGGACAUCACAGAGGGUGAGAAUCCCGUACGUGGUCGCCUGCCUUCGCCGUGUAAAGCCCCUUCGACGAGUCGAGUUGUUUGGGAAUGCAGCUCUAAAUGGGAGGUAAAUUUCUUCUAAAGCUAAAUACCGGCCAGAGACCGAUAGCGCACAAGUAGAGUGAUCGAAAGAUGAAAAGCACUUUGGAAAGAGAGUCAAACAGCACGUGAAAUUGUUGAAAGGGAAGCGCUUGCAGCCAGACUUGCUCGUAGUUGCUCACCUGGGUCCGCCCGGGGCACUCUUCUGCGAGCAGGCCAGCAUCAGUUUGGGCGACCGGAUAAAGGCCUCUGUCAUGUAUCUUCCUUCGGGAUGACCUUAUAGGGGAGGCGUAAUGCGGCCAGCCCGGACUGAGGUCCGCGCUUCUGCUAGGAUGCUGGCGUAAUGGCUGUAAGCGGCCCGUCUUGAAACACGGACCAAGGAGUCUAACAUCUAUGCGAGUGUUUGGGUGUCAAGCCCGGGCGCGUAAUGAAAGUGAACGGAGGUGGGAACCCUCUCCGGGGGGUGCACCAUCGACCGAUCCUGAUGUCUUCGGAUGGAUUUGAGUAAGAGCAUAGCUGUUGGGACCCGAAAGAUGGUGAACUAUGCUUGAAUAGGGUGAAGCCAGAGGAAACUCUGGUGGAGGCUCGCAGCGGUUCUGACGUGCAAAUCGAUCGUCAAAUUUGGGCAUAGGGGCGAAAGACUAAUCGAACUAUCUAGUAGCUGGUUCCUGCCGAAGUUUCCCUCAGGAUAGCAGUAACGUAUUCAGUUUUAUGAGGUAAAGCGAAUGAUUAGAGGCCUGGGGGUUGAAACAACCUUCACCUAUUCUCAAACUUUAAAUAUGUAAGAAGUCCUUGUUACUUGAU